This 429-nucleotide long non-coding RNA is filed under the name Dromaius novaehollandiae (emu). Its description in RNAcentral is "lncRNA (ENSDNVG00000010821.1)". The record is from RNAcentral. Lineage: Eukaryota; Metazoa; Chordata; Aves; Casuariiformes; Dromaiidae.
UCAAAGCGGUAGUAUAAAAAGCUACCUCAAAAGAAAACCAAGCUGUCCAGCCAGCUAAAAGAAUUAAAAUUGGAAUUCCAUCCAAGAUCCUCUUAAUUUAACUGCUGAUGGUUUGAGAAGUUCGAACUACCUGUAAUCGUAAGGAAAAGAAAACUCUGUCGUGUCUCCAUGUUAAAAUGAGUGGAAAUUGAACUUAGGGCGAUUUAGCAUGUGAUUACUUUUUUUAGACAGGAUUUUCUUCUUAGCUGAAUUGGAUUGUGUCUUUUUUCUCCCAAACCAGAUGUAAAAUUUAUGACACUGGAAGAGGAUGCAAACAGGACUGUAAUCCUACAAAACGGCUGAGUAACUUGGCCGAAUGGAAAGGUCUGAAGCUGAUGGCAUACUGCAUAGUAGGGAAACAGGAUGUGAUGGUGUACAAUCACUGAUUCC